RNAcentral lists this transfer RNA (85 nucleotides) under Felis catus (domestic cat). It matches the Rfam family "tRNA". Rfam says of the family: Transfer RNA (tRNA) molecules are approximately 80 nucleotides in length. Their secondary structure includes four short double-helical elements and three loops (D, anti-codon, and T loops). Further hydrogen bonds mediate the characteristic L-shaped molecular structure. tRNAs have two regions of fundamental functional importance: the anti-codon, which is responsible for specific mRNA codon recognition, and the 3' end, to which the tRNAs corresponding amino acid is attached (by aminoacyl-tRNA synthetases). tRNAs cope with the degeneracy of the genetic code in two manners: having more than one tRNA (with a specific anti-codon) for a particular amino acid; and 'wobble' base-pairing, i.e. permitting non-standard base-pairing at the 3rd anti-codon position. The record is from Rfam by way of RNAcentral. Lineage: Eukaryota; Metazoa; Chordata; Mammalia; Carnivora; Felidae.
GCCUGGGUGGCUUAGUCGGUUAAGUGUCUGACUUCAGCUCAGGUCAUGAUCUCCUGGUAUAUGGAUUUGAGCCCCAUAUCAGGCU